CUACGGGACGCUGCAGUGGGGAAUAUUGGGCAAUGGGCGCAAGCCUGACCCAGCAACGCCGCGUGAGGGAAGAAGGUUUUCGGAUUGUAAACCUCUGUCCUUGGGGACGAAGAAGUGACGGUACCCAAGGAGGAAGCUCCGGCUAACUACGUGCCAGCAGCCGCGGUAAGACGUAGGGAGCAAGCGUUGUCCGGAAUUACUGGGCGUAAAGGGUGCGUAGGCGGCAUAUUAAGUCAGGUGUGAAAUACUCGGGCUCAACCCGGGGGCUGCAUUUGAAACUGAUAUGCUUGAGUGUGAGAGAGGAAAGUGGAAUUCCUAGUGUAGCGGUGGAAUGCGUAGAUAUUAGGAGGAACACCAGUGGCGAAGGCGACUUUCUGGCUCAUAACUGACGCUGAGGCACGAAAGCGUGGGGGGCAAACAGGAUUAGAUACCCGAGUAGUC
This 441-nucleotide ribosomal RNA is filed under the name uncultured bacterium. RNAcentral's name for it is "partial 16S ribosomal RNA". It matches the Rfam family "Bacterial small subunit ribosomal RNA", at positions 339 to 795 of the family's 1533-position model. The record is from RNAcentral.